Long non-coding RNA from Triplophysa dalaica, 3298 nucleotides. RefSeq lists it as uncharacterized. The record is from RefSeq and is a predicted model, not a curated record. The transcript has 4 exons. NCBI's taxonomy places the organism in Eukaryota, Metazoa, Chordata, Actinopteri, Cypriniformes, Nemacheilidae.
UCUUACUUCAGAAUAUACAUUUUAAAAACAAUGUUUUUUUCAGAAUUUGGUGAAUUAUGAACAGUGGGGUUUUGCUAUGUUUUAUUCCAAAUUUGGUAUUAAUCUUGUAAUGCUACAACUUUAUACCUAAUAUAAAUAUUACUGCUUUCAUCUCCUAAAUCAAAAGAUUUAGAAACUUGUUCUCAUAUUGAAACAAUUUCAUACUCAAAUUCUUUCCAGCUAGCCAAACCGGAAUCAGAAUCUAAACAACUCUUGUCUCUUGCUAGUUUCGAAACAGGCUUCUAAAUAUAUAUAUUUAUUGAAAUGAACAUCUGUUUAGAUGAUUUUGACGUAUCUGGGGCGGUUGUUGUUUCGGUAAAGGUGAAAAAAGUUUACAGAAUUUAUGUGAUUUAUACAGUUCUACAGCCUUUUGUUUUCUCGAGCUUGAAGCCCUGCAGUAACAUCCAGAACACCCACACAAUUCACAGACAAUAAUGCCGUGCAACCUUAGAUUGUUCAAUUCCAACAGGCACCUGUCAGAAUGUUGCAGCCCUGUCGUGGAAUGGGAAAUUUCUAUUCAAUUGCCCUCUCUAGAGUCAGCUUUCGUAGGGAGCGUUACAUGGACCCAAUGUCAGGUAGGAACUACUUCUGUUGAACACAGGUUACUUUCUGUCAAAAACUGUUAAUGCUAUAUUGUGAAUUAAAGUUGAAAGUGCAUUUUGAAAAAGUUUGGAGAUUGUAUGUAGCUCAGGUGGUAAGCAACAUAAAGGACAUUGAUUCUAGCCCAAUGCAUCAAUGCAAAUGAAUUGUUAUUUAGUUAUUCAAGAAACUGAAAGAAUUGCUUAAUCAAUAAAAAUAAUUUAAUAAUAAGCAGCAUUACAUAAUUGUUACUAAUUUGGAGAUGAAAAAUAAAAUUGGUCUGUACAUGCACUUAUAUUUCACCAGUGAAAAUCCAUUUUUACAAUAACAAACCAGUUCACCAAGAUCCUUAUUUUUACAUCUUGCAUACAUGAACGAUAACCUGUAAUUCAUCUCCCUAAAGUGCCAGCAAGACGUGUUUAAAAAGGCAAGAAGUAGCAGUGGUGUGGGGUUUUAAUUGAAGCUCCCUCUCACCAAGCGCAGCGCUAUAGGCUCAGUGUCAGGACCCGCUGCGGCUGAGGCACCCUCUCAGGCGCGGGACGGCUGCAGCGGCGAAGGGCCUUCUAAUUGCACUCCGCGGAGAGCGAACACCCCUGUGGAUAAAAAUGAAAGAGCGCCCGGCCCGGCUUCAUCUCUAUUGUGCAAAAAUAAAUACAUACAGUCGACGCCCAGGGUGUGAAAUAACACACCAGCCGUCGGAUUUCACUGGUCAUUUCACCCUCAGCUGCAGAGCCCAAAACGAUAUUGUCUUGAACGGUGAGAAAAGCGAGACUAUUGUGUUUUUUAAGUGGGAACCUUGCUAAGGCUUUUAAUGCAGGUUGUCUGUGGUAAUCCUUUCUCGGUAGCGGGAUUGUAUGAUAUCAGGAAAUGGAUAAUAGAAUUUGUCUGUUUUGUGACUUACGAGGAGGUCUUCCCAAACAAAAGAUAAUUGUGUAGUUAAAUAUUAGAAAGCAAUGUGGGAAACCAUGACAUUUUCCUUCUACUAUAGUGUAUCUCAUUUGAACGUUGAAUGUGUUCAGGAUUUAGUCAAUUUUUCAGUCUUAUUGUUCCGUUAAUUAAAAAAAAUUAAUAUCUAUACAUCAAUAAAUUCAUAUUAUUUCUUACUUUAUACAUUCUUUAGCAUUCAUAAACUGCAUGAACUCAUGCAAAGUUGUAUUAGAGUAUUAGCCAUCACUUGGCCAAACAAAUGCCUCAUGUAUUUAAAAAAGACAGGUAAGCAUUUCAAGACAUUAAUGUUGUUUUGCACUUUAAGCUUUUUAUUCUGCCCUCAUAAACAUCAUCUCUGACUUCUCUAAAUAACUAGCUUGUCAUCCAAACAAGAGUGUUAAUGCGAGUCCUUUGACAACUGUCUGAUUUAUUUUCCAAGACGACCACGACGGUGGCUGAUGUUUUCUCUUUUUUUCCCCUUACACACAAUUUAGCAGCCACCCGUUUAAGUGGCAUUGUCCUGAACAGCGUGGCAAGCAGAGAGAUGUGGGCCGUCUGCUUCUUGUCACUUCCUAUUAUUAAGAAGGCACUCCGUGGCACCUGGGGGAAUGCCAGUCUCCACUGCUUCCGUCAGAAAUCUGCAUAACGCUGCCUGAUGGCUGUGGCCGUCCAGACGUCCAAACACAACCUGUCAUGUCUCAGUGUUACCCAGAAUGCUGCUAGCAGCGCAGGGCCUGGGGAUGCUUUCCAGCGCCCCAACACUCGAUGUCUCCAUCAGCCACACUAAUCCAGCUCUACAAAUCGGAGACGUCACAGGGCAUAUCUUUACUGCCAGGAUUACAUCCUGCCAGACCUUUCGCAAUCCAUUAGAUCCUGGAGGUACAUCAGAGAGAAAUAAAACCUGUGGAAUUCCAGGCAGACGCAGGUGUCAGGAUCAUAAGGUGUCAUCUCCAAAGGAGCUUGAUGUGUAGUUUGUGACAGAGAUUGGCAAGUUACGAUGAUGGCGUCGCUUGAGACGUGGAGGAUUUAAUUGAUACGAGAGGUGUUGCCUGCUUCUCUGGAGCUCAGCAGGGUUGUGUGGAGAACGUGACGGCAACAUGCAGCUCCCUGAAUCGAACAUGAUGAUAGAGUUAAACAGGAAGGGUUCACCGCACCUCAAGGAGGCCUAUCUUUCUAUUCUCUUCUUUUUGUCAGACGCCGCACCUGGGAGACCGUUUUGAAGGCCCCUUGUCUUUCAGAAAGAAGACCAGGUUGUCAUUUAUCACCUUCUCCAAGGUGACCCCUGUUUCUCAAAAACCUCUCUUCACCCUCUGGAGUGUUAAGUGGACGUAUGAGAGCCCUUAGCCAGUUCUCUCCUCAGAAAACAGAGAGAUUGUCAGCCUUUUGGGAAAAUGGAAGUGUCUAAAAGUACAAGAGUCCCACUUGAUGAUGAUGAGUGCUGUGUUCAACUUGACAUAAACAGAUCUCAUUGCUGGCCUCAAUGACAUUAAAUGUAGAACUGGUUAGCUUAGGAUUGGUUUACAUUUUAAUGAUCUAUAUGCUGUUACAAGGUUCAUUGACUGUGAAGUAAGCUUACCAUUAACAAUGGGUAAAAAUGUUAUUUUUUGAAAAUGUGCAAUUAGAUACAACAACACAAAUGAAUAAAUAGACCCAUUUGAGGUUUUUAGCAGGACUGUUGGUAACCAUCCCAAAGAGAUGCCAUUUUUGUCAAGUCACAUCUUAUUCAAUUCAAGUAAAUUUAUAUUGCACAGUG